RNAcentral lists this ribosomal RNA (253 nucleotides) under uncultured bacterium. RNAcentral's name for it is "partial 16S ribosomal RNA". It matches the Rfam family "Bacterial small subunit ribosomal RNA", at positions 524 to 776 of the family's 1533-position model. The record is from RNAcentral.
GACGUAGGGCGCGAGCGUUGUCCGGAUUUAUUGGGCGUAAAGAGCUCGUAGGCGGCUCGUCGCGUCGACCGUGAAAACCCGCAGCUUAACUGCGGGCUUGCGGUUGAUACGGGCGGGCUAGAGUUCGGUAGGGGAGACUGGAAUUCCUGGUGUAGCGGUGAAAUGCGCAGAUAUCAGGAGGAACACCGGUGGCGAAGGCGGGUCUCUGGGCCGAUACUGACGCUGAGGAGCGAAAGCGUGGGGAGCGAACAGG